UACGGAGGGUGCAAGCGUUGCUCGGAAUUACUGGGCGUAAAGCGCACGUAGGCGGCUCUUUAAGUCGGGGGUGAAAUCCUGGAGCUCAACUCCAGAACUGCCUUCGAUACUGUAGAGCUUGAGUUCGGGAGAGGUGAGUGGAACUGCGAGUGUAGAGGUGAAAUUCGUAGAUAUUCGCAAGAACACCAGUGGCGAAGGCGGCUCACUGGCCCGAUACUGACGCUGAGGUGCGAAAGCGUGGGGAGCAAACAGG
This 253-nucleotide ribosomal RNA is filed under the name uncultured bacterium. Its description in RNAcentral is "partial 16S ribosomal RNA". It matches the Rfam family "Bacterial small subunit ribosomal RNA", at positions 524 to 776 of the family's 1533-position model. The record is from RNAcentral.